AAACCAACAGGGAUUGCCUCAGUAACGGCGAGUGAAGCGGCAAGAGCUCAAAUUUGAAAUCGGUAUUUUAUAUCGAGUUGUAGUUUGAAGGGAGGACUCUGUGGAGUGGUGAGCAGCGAUGUUCCUUGGAAGAGGACGUGACACAAGGUGAUAAUCCUGUAGCUGUGAUCCGUGACACGUGUAGGGUCCCCCCGAAGAGUCGAGUUGUUUGGGAAUGCAGCUCUAAGUGGGUGGUAAACUCCAUCUAAAGCUAAAUACUAGCGAGAGACCGAUAGCGAACAAGUACAGUGAUGGAAAGAUGAAAAGAACUUUGAAAAGAGAGUGAAAGAGUGCGUGAAAUUGUUGAAAGGGAAGGAUAUUAGGUGAGGCGGGGACGUGGGUUCUGUAUUAUCUCUUGUAGAUUGUAUUAUGCCCACGUCCAGGCCGGUGUGGGUGGGGAGCGGGCGAUGAAAGCUAUUCUUUGAACCUAGUUCUAGGAACAGUCAACAGCCCUCCCCCCACCAUGGACAGACGACACCGACACAAUGACCUAACAUCGC
RNAcentral lists this ribosomal RNA (539 nucleotides) under Phaffomyces opuntiae. RNAcentral describes it as "eukaryotic LSU rRNA". It matches the Rfam family "Eukaryotic large subunit ribosomal RNA", at positions 62 to 648 of the family's 3401-position model. The record is from RNAcentral. Lineage: Eukaryota; Fungi; Ascomycota; Saccharomycetes; Phaffomycetales; Phaffomycetaceae.